This is a long non-coding RNA of Solenopsis invicta (red fire ant), 1599 nucleotides long. RefSeq lists it as uncharacterized. The record is from RefSeq and is a predicted model, not a curated record. Lineage: Eukaryota; Metazoa; Arthropoda; Insecta; Hymenoptera; Formicidae. The transcript has 2 exons.
GUUCGCUCUUGUAUAAUCAAGAUUGUUCCAUUGAUCUUAAACUCUUUUGAACCAUCUUGAACCCUUUUGGGUGUGGAUCUUAAUUUUAUCUUAUUAUAAAUAGAGCAACCGGCUAUUAUUGCAAAUAGAGGCAUUAGAGAGCUCUGAAUGCGGGCGCGGAGGCGAACGCCCGAUGACCGACGAUGAUGAGAAACGUUCGCCAUCGGGAGAACAAAGGCCCGGUGGCCCGGGGAGACAGACGGGUAUUCAAAUUCGAGCUUAGCGGUCGCCGGCCGGCUAAUUGCAUUACCGCGCGCGCGGCCCUCUGUAUAAGGUAUACGCACGACAUUCGAUUCUCUCUCGUCUCGGUAUGACGAGUGCCGCCUGGAGCGCGAUUAUAGCAGGCUCGGAUUAUGAAGGUAAGACGCACUGCUCGAAAACGUUGCGUCGAGUUCAAUGCCACCUCCGGCGAAACAGAGAAGAACUGGAGAAUAAGCGGGAGGGAGAGAGAGAGAAGGAGUGAGCGAGUAGAGUUAGUACCAUAGAAAUACAAAUUUUAUGUGACACAGACCCACGCGAGAAAAGAAGAAAAAAAUGAGAUAUAUGAAUUGGAAUCUGUAAUCGCUGGCAGUUAAUUUUGACGAGCGAGAUAAAGUAUCAUCGAUGCAGAGCCGAUUUAGUCGGGAUUCAAAUAAAUUCUCCUCUCUCUCUCUCUCUCUCUUCUUAAUUUAAAUGUCCAUAAUUAUGCAGUAAUCGCUGUAUCAUCAUACGAGUAAUGUACCACGCGAUUCAAAGGGCUGCGCCGAUAAAUCAACGGCGGAUUACUCGUCGAUUGGCGGUCUAAGCGAUCGCUCGCGGUCUCUCCACAGGAUUGGAUCCCUUCCUCUAAUAACAAAAAAAAAAGAAAAGAAAGAUGAAAAGCAUUUUAUAAAUUCGUAGCUGUUUAUUCCUUCAAAGUGGACGCUCGCAUAAUUACAUAUAUCGAUUAGCGUCAAGGCGAAACAGCUUCUUUCGCACAUACACAUAUAAGUGUCCCACACACGUUUAAACCCCGACAGCACAUGAUCUCGUACGAAUAUCAUAAUGUACGAUAAUCUUGUGCUGUUAGGGCAAAUAGGGAGGCUCGUAAUCACACGGAUGUUCCCUAUCUCCCCAGGAAAAACAAUAGGACGAAAGCGAGAGUUACGAGGUGCUGAAAGUGUUGUUUAUCAUUCGAGAGGUUGUCGCGUUAUAUUCGUAAUAAUCGAUUCAUCUGCCAUUAGUGCAUCCCGCAGCAGAGGCCGUACGCGUGAUGAGUUAUUUCGCGAUAGAUUGUUACACAGGAACGCUAUUAACACGCUCUGGACAGUUUGACCCUGGUGAUGAUAGAUACGAGAUUAUCUUUCUUUCUCUCUCUUUCUCUUCUUCGCCAUUUGAGAACAGCGCGAUAGAAUUCGUACGUUUUAUUCCGCACACAUAUAUCUGUGAGACGCCUCUCCGCGCGACACGCAUUAAAAUCACGAAACGGCUUCUGGAGGCGAAUGUGAGUCAAACGGGUUUGCAGAGACGAAGAUGAGGAGAGUGACCGUGGCGGGUGCGAAACGUCGUGUAAAUCAUCGUGAAAGACCGAGCAGACACGUC